Molecule: unclassified non-coding RNA, 354 nt
Filed under: soil metagenome
Description: partial contains 5.8S ribosomal RNA, internal transcribed spacer 2, and large subunit ribosomal RNA
Rfam family: 5.8S ribosomal RNA (bases 1-121)
Source: RNAcentral
GAUGAAGAACGUAGCGAAAUGCGAUAAGUAAUGCGAAUUGCAGAAUUUCCGUGAGUCAUCGAAUCUUUGAACGCACAUUGCGCCCGCGAGUAUUCUCGCGGGCAUGCCUGUCCGAGCGUCAUUUCAACCCUCAGGGCCCGCCUGCUUCGGCAGGCGCGGCGCUGGUGUUGGGGAUCGGCCUAACCGCCGUCCCCCAAAUACAGUGGCGGUCUCGCUGCAGCCUCCCCUGCGUAGUAGCAACACUCGCAUGCGGAGCGCGGCGCGGCCACGCCGUAAAACCCCCGACUUUCUGAACGUUGACCUCGGAUCAGGUAGGAAUACCCGCUGAACUUAAGCAUAUCAAUAAGCGGAGGA